Molecule: long non-coding RNA, 1120 nt
Organism: Columba livia (rock pigeon)
Lineage: Eukaryota; Metazoa; Chordata; Aves; Columbiformes; Columbidae
Exons: 2
Source: RefSeq, a predicted model, not a curated record
ACGCGAACAUCCUUUUUGUUUGACAGUAGAAUGGAAAAUGUUUUCUCUUACGAAAGCCCUAUAAGAGCUCAAAAGACUACAGUGCUGGGUCACUUUUCCAUCGACAGGACCUGCACAGCGUGCUGCUCCCUGACCGGAGGCCCGUCCGAUGCUGCCCAGCCCCGGGUCCCCACCUUCUGGAGGGACAACUGCUACCUGGAGCUUCACAGUAUUGCUUUUGGUCUCUGCAUGCUGUGUAUCAGUGAACAUGAAGUGCCAGACAUCUCCACCCACCAGCAGCAUCAAAGCCUCUCUUCAUCUGCUACAUCAAAUAACUGGACUGUUUGGUGAAAUAUGUCUGUGUCUUGGGGUACAUUGGACUAGGGGUGGAACCAGAUUGCAGGACAUCUCUUAUGUUCCUAGCUCCAAGGUGAUUUCUAUCCUACACUUAUUCUCACAAUCAGUAUGUGUUUUAUUGCCCUUGUGUUACUAAUUUUAGUAAUUGUUUUUUGUAAAAUAAUCUUUCUAAUAGCCAAAAAAUUUUACCGGUAUAAUCUGCAACUCAUGGUAUCUGUAGAAAAAGUCAGCUGUGCGUGGAUCAAGGGGUGGAAGUUAGUCAUCCUGACCGGAAGAUCAUUGUACAUCGAGGAGUUAGUGAUCCACAAAACAGCUGACUUGGGCUGGCCCAAGCCUGUGCUGUGCUGUACAGUGCUGCACAUACUGCCUGGCCUUCAAGCCGUGCUGUGCCACACACAUCCCUCGGCUACGGGAUGAACUUAGCCAGCUAACUGUAAUGAGGAGUCUGUUGUCACCUUCCACUGAGUGCUGCUGAUUACACCACCUGUGUGGCCUUGCCUUUAUCUAACAGUGUGCCCGCGAGUUCUCACAUUAACAUCCUUUUUGUUUGACAGUAGAAAUUAUGAAUAUACAUGUUUUCUUGUAAGAAAACCCUGUAGGAACUCAAAAAACCACAGUGCUGGGUCACUUUUUCACCAAUGAGAUCUGUACAGUGUGCCUCUUUGGAGAUCCACCCAGUGAUGCACAACUUGGGGCUCCCAGCAUCUGGAGGGAUGUGAGAUUAUCUAUACUAUUGUCUUUUUUGUUAUAGUGUUAGCUCCAAUAAACUUCAUUUUAAGUGAUA